This 509-nucleotide ribosomal RNA is filed under the name uncultured bacterium. RNAcentral's name for it is "bacterial SSU rRNA". It matches the Rfam family "Bacterial small subunit ribosomal RNA", at positions 19 to 518 of the family's 1533-position model. The record is from RNAcentral.
AUGGCUCAGGAUGAACGCUAGCUACAGGCUUAACACAUGCAAGUCGAGGGGCGGCAUGAGAUUAGCUUGCUAAUCUUGAUGGCGACCGGCGCACGGGUGAGUAACGCGUAUCCAACCUUCCCCCUACUCAGGCAUAGCCCGGUGAAAACCGGAUUAACUCCUGAUAGUUUCACUAGAUGGCAUCUGACGGUGAAUAAAGCUUUGCGGUAAGGGAUGGGGAUGCGUCUGAUUAGCUUGUUGGCGGGUAACGGCCCACCAAGGCGACGAUCAGUAGGGGUUCUGAGAGGAAGGUCCCCCACAUUGGAACUGAGACACGGUCCAAACUCCUACGGGAGGCAGCAGUGAGGAAUAUUGGUCAAUGGGCGCGAGCCUGAACCAGCCAAGUAGCGUGCAAGGAAGACGGCCCUAUGGGUUGUAAACUGCUUUUGUGCGGGAAUAAAGUCAGGGACGUGUCCCUGUUUGCAUGUACCGCAAGAAUAAGGACCGGCUAAUUCCGUGCCAGCAGCUGC